AGCUCCAAUAGCGUAUAUUAAAGUUGUUGCAGUUAAAAAGCUCGUAGUCUGACUUUUGGCUGGCAGUUUUAGAGUCCCAGUUGGCCCGUCAAACGGUCGAUUGUUGUUUGAUUCUUCUGUCUUGGCCAUAUUAACUUUUCAGAGGAACGUCUUGUGCUUUUCAUUAAGUGCUUGCGGGAUUCUGAUGGUUUACUUUGAGAAAAAUAGAGUGUUCAAAGCAGGCGUUUCGCCAAUUGAAUACAUUAGCAUGGGAUAAUGGAAUAGGACAUUGGUUCUAUUUUGUUGGUUUUAAGGACCGAUGUAAUGAUUAAUAGGGACAGUUGGGGACAUUUAUAUUCCAUGGCUAGAGGUGAAAUUCUUGGAUUCAUGGAAGAUAAACUACUGCGAAAGCAUUUGUCAAAGAUGUUUUCA
This 411-nucleotide ribosomal RNA is filed under the name uncultured eukaryote. Its description in RNAcentral is "SSU rRNA". It matches the Rfam family "Eukaryotic small subunit ribosomal RNA", at positions 587 to 972 of the family's 1831-position model. The record is from RNAcentral.